GGUCCCAUGGCCUAGUGGAUAAGGCUUCUGACUUCUAAUCAGACGACCCGGGUUCGAAUCCCGGUGGGAUCA
Non-coding RNA from Aphelenchus avenae, 72 nucleotides. The record is from the annotation of a GenBank genome assembly. NCBI's taxonomy places the organism in Eukaryota, Metazoa, Nematoda, Chromadorea, Rhabditida, Aphelenchidae.